ACGGGUAGCUUGCACCUGGUGGCGAGUGGCGAACGGGUGAGUAAUACAUCGGAACAUGUCCUGUAGUGGGGGAUAGCCCGGCGAAAGCCGGAUUAAUACCGCAUACGAUCUACGGAUGAAAGCGGGGGACCUUCGGGCCUCGCGCUAUAGGGUUGGCCGAUGGCUGAUUAGCUAGUUGGUGGGGUAAAGGCCUACCAAGGCGACGAUCAGUAGCUGGUCUGAGAGGACGACCAGCCACACUGGGACUGAGACACGGCCCAGACUCCUACGGGAGGCAGCAGUGGGGAAUUUUGGACAAUGGGCGAAAGCCUGAUCCAGCAAUGCCGCGUGUGUGAAGAAGGCCUUCGGGUUGUAAAGCACUUUUGUCCGGAAAGAAAUCCUUGGCUCUAAUACAGCCGGGGGAUGACGGUACCGGAAGAAUAAGCACCGGCUAACUACGUGCCAGCAGCCGCGGUAAUACGUAGGGUGCGAGCGUUAAUCGGAAUUACUGGGCGUAAAGCGUGCGCAGGCGGUUUGCUAAGACCGAUGUGAAAUCCCCGGGCUCAACCUGGGAACUGCAUUGGUGACUGGCAGGCUAGAGUAUGGCAGAGGGGGGUAGAAUUCCACGUGUAGCAGUGAAAUGCGUAGAGAUGUGGAGGAAUACCGAUGGCGAAGGCAGCCCCCUGGGCCAAUACUGACGCUCAUGCACGAAAGCGUGCGGAGCAAACAGGAUUAGAUACCCUGGUAGUCCACGCCCUAAACGAUGUCAACUAGUUGUUGGGGAUUCAUUUCCUUAGUAACGUANCUAACGCGUGAAGUUG
RNAcentral lists this ribosomal RNA (800 nucleotides) under Burkholderia sp. RI36. RNAcentral describes it as "bacterial SSU rRNA". It matches the Rfam family "Bacterial small subunit ribosomal RNA", at positions 71 to 867 of the family's 1533-position model. Lineage: Bacteria; Pseudomonadati; Pseudomonadota; Betaproteobacteria; Burkholderiales; Burkholderiaceae. The record is from RNAcentral.